Molecule: ribosomal RNA, 446 nt
Filed under: uncultured bacterium
Lineage: Bacteria
Description: partial 16S ribosomal RNA
Rfam family: Bacterial small subunit ribosomal RNA
Source: RNAcentral
CCUACGGGUGGCUGCAGUCGAGAAUCAUUCACAAUGGGGGAAACCCUGAUGGUGCGACGCCGCGUGGGGGAAUGAAGGUCUUCGGAUUGUAAACCCCUGUCAUGUGGGAGCAAAUUAAAAAGAUAGUACCACAAGAGGAAGAGACGGCUAACUCUGUGCCAGCAGCCGCGGUAAUACAGAGGUCUCAAGCGUUGUUCGGAAUCACUGGGCGUAAAGCGUGCGUAGGCUGUUUCGUAAGUCGUGUGUGAAAGGCGCGGGCUCAACCCGCGGACGGCACAUGAUACUGCGAGGCUAGAGUAAGGGAGGGGGAACCGGAAUUCUCGGUGUAGCAGUGAAAUGCGUAGAUAUCGAGAGGAACACUCGUGGCGAAGGCGGGUUCCUGGACAUUAACUGACGCUGAGGCACGAAGGCCAGGGGAGCGAAAGGGAUUAGAUACCCUAGUAGUC